RNAcentral lists this long non-coding RNA (670 nucleotides) under Olea europaea subsp. europaea. Lineage: Eukaryota; Viridiplantae; Streptophyta; Magnoliopsida; Lamiales; Oleaceae. The record is from RNAcentral.
UGGGAAAGGUCCUAUGGCAGACUCAUGUUGAGGUGGCGCUGAUGAGAUGGGUGAACGAUGGUGACUCCGCUUUUCAUAUGGAGCACUAAUAAGUAACUUGUAGUUCCGAGCUAAAGAGUAAGCGUGAUCAAGAGUAGUGACACCUCGAAAGAAAAGCUCACGCCUAAGUUCAUCUCUUAGACCUUGUAUAAACCUACUCAAAGUCAGGGCCUCAUCCCUAACGACAUGACAUUUCACUCGAAAUUCCUCAAAUUGAGUAAUGUACUCAGUUAUUAGCCGAUUUCCUUGUGUAAGGGUGUUCCAUUGGGUAAAAAUUUCAUGAUCUAAGCAACCAUCGAAAGUAGGAAUAUCUAAGUCAAUGUCUCUAACGAAACGCUCCUUACAACGAGGAAGAGAAUGAGUACCAUGAUGACCAUGGCCUUGUUCUUACUCACGAACCUGAUCCCUAUUCCUACGAUCGCGUCGAAAAUAUUCUUGAUCACUUUGUCCACGAUGAUAUUGUCUAUUAUGAGACGCUUCAGAAUUAGUGUCAGUCAAAUGAGGGGUUCGCUUAAAAUUGCUCAACUUAGUAGCUAGGUUCUUUCUCUCCUCACGAGUAGCAGUUAUAUCUGAUUGGACAGUUGAUAGGCUAGUGGCAAGUUGCGCUAAUUGUCUAGUGAGUGCAUCAAAU